UAAUACGGAGGGUGCAAGCGUUGUCCGGAAUCAUUGGGUGUAAAGGGUGCGUAGGCGGGUUUUUAAGUCUGGGGUGAAAGGCUGCGGCUCAACCGUAGGAUUGCCUUGGACACUGGAGACCUUGAGUGUAACAGAGGCCGGUAGAAUUCGUGGUGUAGCGGUGAAAUGCAUAGAUAUCACGAAGAAUGCCAGUGGCGUAGGCGGCCGGCUGGGUUACAACUGACGCUGAGGCACGAGAGCGUGGGGAGCAAACAGGAUUAGAUACCCUGGUAGUCCACGCCGUAAACGAUGUAUACUAGGUGUUGGGCGGGCUUAGGUCCGUUCAGUGCUGCAGCUAACGCAUUAAGUAUACCACCUGGGGAGUACGUUCGCAAGAAUG
This 379-nucleotide ribosomal RNA is filed under the name uncultured bacterium. Its description in RNAcentral is "bacterial SSU rRNA". It matches the Rfam family "Bacterial small subunit ribosomal RNA", at positions 521 to 896 of the family's 1533-position model. The record is from RNAcentral.